CGGCUCCCAGGGCUGGUCCCAUCCACGUGGUCCUGACCCGCCCUCCGGGAGCCACAGCAACGGGACUGGAUUGGGGGCUCCUGCCCGAGUGGACGCAGGAGACCACGGUUGCCAGUACAACA
Molecule: small nucleolar RNA, 122 nt
Organism: Myotis lucifugus (little brown bat)
Lineage: Eukaryota; Metazoa; Chordata; Mammalia; Chiroptera; Vespertilionidae
Product: small Cajal body-specific RNA 23
Source: Ensembl